This 785-nucleotide long non-coding RNA is filed under the name Helianthus annuus (common sunflower). The record is from RNAcentral. Lineage: Eukaryota; Viridiplantae; Streptophyta; Magnoliopsida; Asterales; Asteraceae.
UGAUUGACCAUUGCAAGAUGAUUCUUAAGUUUAGAAAAAAAGUGCAAGAAGACGUUGAAGAGUAUUUCAAUCAUUUUCAAGAUUCAGUUGUAGAUGAUGACUUAGAAACUCUGCAAGUUUCAAGUGAUAUCUUGGAAAACAGUAAAGAUCAAUAGAUCCAGAUAUACCUAAAGACUUGAAUACCAUUCAGAUUGCUGAGUUGAAGAUGAUCAAAGUAGGCGAAGCAAGAGACAAGAAGCCAAAGAAAGCACAAUAAGAUAUUCAAAAGAAGAAUGGGGUGGGUAAAUUUGGGUUAGCAUUGACCGCAAACUUGAUUUGGAAGUUACGAGCAAACUUGAUUUUGGAAGAUGCAAAUUUGAUUGCUGUGAUGGAUGGUGGUCAGUGUGUUGAAUGGGGUCACAUGGUGAACUGAUUAGUGCACAUGGGUUGUAUUCAAAGCUUCUUAGAUGUGAAGAAGUGGUCAAACUUCCUGAAAGGUUACCAAGUAAGAAUGGCAAUGCCAAUGACUCAAAGUUUUCGGUUCGGUCAACAGCUGCUCAACGGUCAGAUCUGGUGCGAUUCUCGGUUUGGGUUUGGGAAAUCUGAGCCAAUCCCCGGUCAGUUUCGCGAUUCUCGGUCAGUUUCAGGUUUUUGGUUUGGGUCGAAAGCAGUCAAAGGACCCGGUUCGGGUUAGCAGCAGUCAAACAAGUCAAAGAUGGUCAACUAAGGACCAGUAAAGUUUAAACGUAGCGAGUUAUUAUUACGUUAGUUUAGAUUUUAUUUAGUUAACGCGCACCGAGCUCGAA